AGCGUACACGGUGGAUGCCCUGGCAGUCAGAGGCGAUGAAGGACGUGCUAAUCUGCGAUAAGCGUCGGUGAGGUGAUAUGAACCGUUAUAACCGGCGAUUUCCGAAUGGGGAAACCCAGUGUGUUUCGACACACUAUCAUUAACUGAAUCCAUAGGUUAAUGAGGCGAACCGGGGGAACUGAAACAUCUAAGUACCCCGAGGAAAAGAAAUCAACCGAGAUUCCCCCAGUAGCGGCGAGCGAACGGGGAGGAGCCCAGAGCCUGAAUCAGUGUGUGUGUUAGUGGAAGCGUCUGGAAAGGCGCGCGAUACAGGGUGACAGCCCCGUACACAAAAAUGCACAUAUUGUGAGCUCGAUGAGUAGGGCGGGACACGUGGUAUCCUGUCUGAAUAUGGGGGGACCAUCCUCCAAGGCUAAAUACUCCUGACUGACCGAUAGUGAACCAGUACCGUGAGGGAAAGGCGAAAAGAACCCCGGCGAGGGGAGUGAAAAAGAACCUGAAACCGUGUACGUACAAGCAGUGGGAGCCUCUUAAUGGGGUGACUGCGUACCUUUUGUAUAAUGGGUCAGCGACUUAUAUUCUGUAGCAAGGUUAACCGAAUAGGGGAGCCGAAGGGAAACCGAGUCUUAACUGGGCGCUAAGUUGCAGGGUAUAGACCCGAAACCCGGUGAUCUAGCCAUGGGCAGGUUGAAGGUUGGGUAACACUAACUGGAGGACCGAACCGACUAAUGUUGAAAAAUUAGCGGAUGACUUGUGGCUGGGGGUGAAAGGCCAAUCAAACCGGGAGAUAGCUGGUUCUCCCCGAAAGCUAUUUAGGUAGCGCCUCGUGAAUUCAUCUCCGGGGGUAGAGCACUGUUUCGGCAAGGGGGUCAUCCCGACUUACCAACCCGAUGCAAACUGCGAAUACCGGAGAAUGUUAUCACGGGAGACACACGGCGGGUGCUAACGUCCGUCGUGAAGAGGGAAACAACCCAGACCGCCAGCUAAGGUCCCAAAGUCAUGGUUAAGUGGGAAACGAUGUGGGAAGGCCCAGACAGCCAGGAUGUUGGCUUAGAAGCAGCCAUCAUUUAAAGAAAGCGUAAUAGCUCACUGGUCGAGUCGGCCUGCGCGGAAGAUGUAACGGGGCUAAACCAUGCACCGAAGCUGCGGCAGCGACACUAUGUGUUGUUGGGUAGGGGAGCGUUCUGUAAGCCUGUGAAGGUGGCCUGUGAGGGUUGCUGGAGGUAUCAGAAGUGCGAAUGCUGACAUAAGUAACGAUAAAGCGGGUGAAAAGCCCGCUCGCCGGAAGACCAAGGGUUCCUGUCCAACGUUAAUCGGGGCAGGGUGAGUCGACCCCUAAGGCGAGGCCGAAAGGCGUAGUCGAUGGGAAACAGGUUAAUAUUCCUGUACUUGGUGUUACUGCGAAGGGGGGACGGAGAAGGCUAUGUUGGCCGGGCGACGGUUGUCCCGGUUUAAGCGUGUAGGCUGGUUUUCCAGGCAAAUCCGGAAAACCAAGGCUGAGGCGUGAUGACGAGGCACUACGGUGCUGAAGCGACAAAUGCCCUGCUUCCAGGAAAAGCCUCUAAGCAUCAGGUAACAUCAAAUCGUACCCCAAACCGACACAGGUGGUCAGGUAGAGAAUACCAAGGCGCUUGAGAGAACUCGGGUGAAGGAACUAGGCAAAAUGGUGCCGUAACUUCGGGAGAAGGCACGCUGAUAUGUAGGUGAAGCGACUUGCUCGUGGAGCUGAAAUCAGUCGAAGAUACCAGCUGGCUGCAACUGUUUAUUAAAAACACAGCACUGUGCAAACACGAAAGUGGACGUAUACGGUGUGACGCCUGCCCGGUGCCGGAAGGUUAAUUGAUGGGGUUAGCGGCAACGCGAAGCUCUUGAUCGAAGCCCCGGUAAACGGCGGCCGUAACUAUAACGGUCCUAAGGUAGCGAAAUUCCUUGUCGGGUAAGUUCCGACCUGCACGAAUGGCGUAAUGAUGGCCAGGCUGUCUCCACCCGAGACUCAGUGAAAUUGAACUCGCUGUGAAGAUGCAGUGUACCCGCGGCAAGACGGAAAGACCCCGUGAACCUUUACUAUAGCUUGACACUGAACAUUGAGCCUUGAUGUGUAGGAUAGGUGGGAGGCUUUGAAGUGUGGACGCCAGUCUGCAUGGAGCCGACCUUGAAAUACCACCCUUUAAUGUUUGAUGUUCUAACGUUGGCCCGUAAUCCGGGUUGCGGACAGUGUCUGGUGGGUAGUUUGACUGGGGCGGUCUCCUCCUAAAGAGUAACGGAGGAGCACGAAGGUUGGCUAAUCCUGGUCGGACAUCAGGAGGUUAGUGCAAUGGCAUAAGCCAGCUUGACUGCGAGCGUGACGGCGCGAGCAGGUGCGAAAGCAGGUCAUAGUGAUCCGGUGGUUCUGAAUGGAAGGGCCAUCGCUCAACGGAUAAAAGGUACUCCGGGGAUAACAGGCUGAUACCGCCCAAGAGUUCAUAUCGACGGCGGUGUUUGGCACCUCGAUGUCGGCUCAUCACAUCCUGGGGCUGAAGUAGGUCCCAAGGGUAUGGCUGUUCGCCAUUUAAAGUGGUACGCGAGCUGGGUUUAGAACGUCGUGAGACAGUUCGGUCCCUAUCUGCCGUGGGCGCUGGAGAACUGAGGGGGGCUGCUCCUAGUACGAGAGGACCGGAGUGGACGCAUCACUGGUGUUCGGGUUGUCAUGCCAAUGGCACUGCCCGGUAGCUAAAUGCGGAAGAGAUAAGUGCUGAAAGCAUCUAAGCACGAAACUUGCCCCGAGAUGAGUUCUCCCUGACUCCUUGA
This 2787-nucleotide ribosomal RNA is filed under the name human gut metagenome. RNAcentral's name for it is "bacterial LSU rRNA". It matches the Rfam family "Bacterial large subunit ribosomal RNA". The record is from RNAcentral.